AGACCCGAAACCCGGUGAUCUAGCCAUGGGCAGGUUGAAGGUUGGGUAACACUAACUGGAGGACCGAACCGACUAAUGUUGAAAAAUUAGCGGAUGACCUGUGGCUGGGGGUGAAAGGCCAAUCAAACCGGGAGAUAGCUGGUUCUCCCCGAAAGCUAUUUAGGUAGCGCCUCGUGAAUUCAUCUCCGGGGGUAGAGCACUGUUUCGGCUAGGGGGCCAUCCCGGCUUACCAACCCGAUGCAAACUGCGAAUACCGGAGAAUGUUAUCACGGGAGACACACGGCGGGUGCUAACGUCCGUCGUGAAGAGGGAAACAACCCAGACCGCCAGCUAAGGUCCCAAAGUCAUGGUUAAGUGGGAAACGAUGUGGGAAGGCCCAGACAGCCAGGAUGUUGGCUUAGAAGCAGCCAUCAUUUAAAGAAAGCGUAAUAGCUCACUGGUCGAGUCGGCCUGCGCGGAAGAUGUAACGGGGCUAAACCAUGCACCGAAGCUGCGGCAGCGACACUGUGUGUUGUUGGGUAGGGGAGCGUUCUGUAAGCCUGCGAAGGUGGCCUGUGAGGGUUGCUGGAGGUAUCAGAAGUGCGAAUGCUGACAUAAGUAACGAUAAAGCGGGUGAAAAGCCCGCUCGCCGGAAGACCAAGGGUUCCUGUCCAACGUUAAUCGGGGCAGGGUGAGUCGACCCCUAAGGCGAGGCCGAAAGGCGUAGUCGAUGGGAAACGGGUUAAUAUUCCCGUACUUGGUGUUACUGCGAAGGGGGGACGGAGAAGGCUAUGUUGGCCGGGCGACGGUUGUCCCGGUUUAAGCGUGUAGGUGUGUGUUCCAGGUAAAUCCGGUUCACUUUAACACUGAGGCGUGACGACGAGGCACUACGGUGCUGAAGCAACAAAUGCCCUGCUUCCAGGAAAAGCCUCUAAGCAUCAGGUAACAUCAAAUCGUACCCCAAACCGACACAGGUGGUCAGGUAGAGAAUACCAAGGCGCUUGAGAGAACUCGGGUGAAGGAACUAGGCAAAAUGGUGCCGUAACUUCGGGAGAAGGCACGCUGACACGUAGGUGAAGUGAUUUACUCAUGGAGCUGAAGUCAGUCGAAGAUACCAGCUGGCUGCAACUGUUUAUUAAAAACACAGCACUGUGCAAACACGAAAGUGGACGUAUACGGUGUGACGCCUGCCCGGUGCCGGAAGGUUAAUUGAUGGGGUCAGCGCAAGCGAAGCUCCUGAUCGAAGCCCCGGUAAACGGCGGCCGUAACUAUAACGGUCCUAAGGUAGCGAAAUUCCUUGUCGGGUAAGUUCCGACCUGCACGAAUGGCGUAAUGAUGGCCAGGCUGUCUCCACCCGAGACUCAGUGAAAUUGAACUCGCUGUGAAGAUGCAGUGUACCCGCGGCAAGACGGAAAGACCCCGUGAACCUUUACUAUAGCUUGACACUGAACAUUGAGCCUUGAUGUGUAGGAUAGGUGGGAGGCUUUGAAGUGUGGACGCCAGUCUGCAUGGAGCCGACCUUGAAAUACCACCCUUUAAUGUUUGAUGUUCUAACGUGGACCCGUUACCCGGGUUGCGGACAGUGUCUGGUGGGUAGUUUGACUGGGGCGGUCUCCUCCUAAAGAGUAACGGAGGAGCACGAAGGUUGGCUAAUCCUGGUCGGACAUCAGGAGGUUAGUGCAAUGGCAUAAGCCAGCUUGACUGCGAGCGUGACGGCGCGAGCAGGUGCGAAAGCAGGUCAUAGUGAUCCGGUGGUUCUGAAUGGAAGGGCCAUCGCUCAACGGAUAAAAGGUACUCCGGGGAUAACAGGCUGAUACCGCCCAAGAGUUCAUAUCGACGGCGGUGUUUGGCACCUCGAUGUCGGCUCAUCACAUCCUGGGGCUGAAGUAGGUCCCAAGGGUAUGGCUGUUCGCCAUUUAAAGUGGUACGCGAGCUGGGUUUAGAACGUCGUGAGACAGUUCGGUCCCUAUCUGCCGUGGGCGCUGGAGAACUGAGGGGGGCUGCUCCUAGUACGAGAGGACCGGAGUGGACGCAUCACUGGUGUUCGGGUUGUCAUGCCAAUGGCACUGCCCGGUAGCUAAAUGCGGAAGAGAUAAGUGCUGAAAGCAUCUAAGCACGAAACUUGCCCCGAGAUGAGUUCUCCCUGAGACUUAGAGUCUCCUGAAGGAACGUUGAAGACGACGACGUUGAUAGGCCGGGUGUGUAAGCGCAGCGAUGCGUUGAGCUAACCGGUACUAAUGAACCGUGAGGCUUAACCUU
This 2238-nucleotide ribosomal RNA is filed under the name Salmonella enterica. RNAcentral's name for it is "partial 23S ribosomal RNA". It matches the Rfam family "Bacterial large subunit ribosomal RNA", at positions 711 to 2925 of the family's 2925-position model. The record is from RNAcentral. RNAcentral also lists the same sequence under 1 other name. Lineage: Bacteria; Pseudomonadati; Pseudomonadota; Gammaproteobacteria; Enterobacterales; Enterobacteriaceae.